Molecule: ribosomal RNA, 1089 nt
Filed under: Triticum aestivum (bread wheat)
Lineage: Eukaryota; Viridiplantae; Streptophyta; Magnoliopsida; Poales; Poaceae
Description: partial small subunit ribosomal RNA
Source: RNAcentral
AUGGCAUCCACCGUCGGCGCCGUGGCGCGGGCGCCUGCCGCCGGCGGGAAGCCAUCGGUCCUCUACCUUCGCCGCGCCAAUGACGGUCUCGCCGCCGCGCUGCGCGCGCGCUACCGCGUCCACAGCCUUUACGACUCGGGCGCUCCGCUCCUGGCGUUCCUCGCCGGGGCCGCGGCCGCCCGGGGGGGCGGUGAGCCCCCGCGGGCCGCCGUCGUCGUCGGCGGAGGCGCCAUCCAAGUCGACGCCGCCUUCCUCGACGCGGCCCCGUGCCUCCGCUGCGUCGUGACCACCGCCGCCGGCCUGGACCACGUCGACCUCGCCGAGUGCGCGCGCCGGGGCGUCGCCGUGGCCGGCGCCGGUGAGACAUUCUCCGCUGACGUGGCGGAUCACGCCGUCGGGCUCCUCCUCGACGUGCUCCGGCGCAUCUCGGCGGCCGACCGGUUCGUCCGGCGCGGGCUGUGGCCGGCGCGCGGGGACUGCUCGCUUGGCUCCAAGCUCAGUGGCAAGCGAGUAGGCAUCAUCGGUUUGGGGAGCAUCGGUACAUUGAUCGCGAGGCGGCUCGAGGCAUUUGGCUGCACCAUCUCCUAUCACUCCAGAAGGGCCAAGGAUUCAGCUACCAUCUCUUACAAAUAUUUCCCCAGUGUCAUCAACUUGGCUCUCGAGUCCGAUGUGCUCAUCGUCGCGUGCUCUCUCAAUAAUCAAACAAAGCACAUUGUCAACAAGGAAGUCCUGGAGGCGCUAGGGAAAGACGGCGUCAUUGUGAACAUUGCCCGCGGAGGGAACGUCGAUGAGGCGGCCCUAAUCUGCGCACUCAAGGGAGGGGGGAUAGCGGGCGCGGGCCUCGAUGUCUUUGAGAAGGAGCCUGAGGUGCCGGCAGAGCUACUCUCCAUGGAAAAUGUGGUGCUCACAGCGCAUGAGGCCGUCUUCACUGUGGAGUCGGCCUCUGAUAUUUCGGACCUCAUGAUCGGGAACCUUGAGGCGUUCUUCCAAGUCUACCAUGCAUGCAAAUCCCAUGUAGCUGAACAUGAAUAUCACGUCUGGUUCGCUCCAGUAGCUGCUGCAUUUCUGAAGAACCAGGUGUGUACAUGA